CUUUGAGAAACUGCAUGCAGGUAUGAAGAUAUUUGCUCUCUGUUUGUUUAUUUAAUAAUGAAAUACCACAUAUGUAUGCAUUUGAACUUUAGAGUGGCUUGGAUCAACUUCACAAAGAUGCGAUGGACCAUCAGGAGCUGGCAUCUGUUGUUUCGGGUUUCUGUGGAAUGAUACCUUAAAUAAAUGCAUUCAGUGCAGGGAUGGAUUCUAUGGUUUGAAUUGUUCGACCCCCUGUCCAUACCCAUCGUUUGGUCGUAAGUGUGUGGGGCGCUGCAGUUGUAGAUAUGAGAGUUGUCAUCACGUGACCGGAUGUAGGGAACACGAGCAAUUUGAAGGCAAAUGAGACUCUCAUUAGUCAUUCUUUUUCAUAUUUUGAUAUUUUAAACUAACACCGAUUUGCCACUGAAUUUUAGUUAUUAAAUGUUUGAAUUUGACAUGGAAAAAAUAAUUAUUAUUAAUUUAUCCUUCAGAAUUAACUUUGAGGUGAGACAAUUCGUGAUGUCUAUCUCAAAUGCAGGGUGACAACUGUUGCCAUCCUUCAGAUGACAAUGAAAUAGCUUUAGCGAGCAUGUUGGGUUAAAAAUGUGUUGUCACGCUGUGAAUGCAAGUGCAGUGGUUUAUGGGAAAUAACUCAUAUAAUUAUAUUAUUAUACAUGCAAAAUAAUUAAAUAUGCGGAAUCAGUAAACAAUUAAUUCUAAAGAUGACGUCAAUGUUGUAUGUUAACAUAUUUUGGAAUUAUGGAAUCAGAGCAGAGUAAGUGAAAACAAAAGGUUUGAUAACUAUUUUCUAUUCUAUUGAUGAUUUAGAUUUUACAGGAUAAUAAAACUAUUAUGGACUGUUUAGAAGGGAGACGUCACCAAUUGUCAGGUCUUAGUAAGGUUGUCAAUGUCAAACGCAAGCGCCCGAGGGUGUCAACCGUUCUCAGACCUGAUAAUUUGUGAUAUCUCCCUUCUCAAGCGUCAAUAAUUAUAUAUUAGCGAGUGGCUCCAUUCUUGAUUUUACUUAAUUUUGCAAUUGCUAAAGGAUACAGAAUAUGAC
This is a long non-coding RNA of Saccostrea cuccullata (small rock oyster), 1039 nucleotides long. RefSeq lists it as uncharacterized. The record is from RefSeq and is a predicted model, not a curated record. The transcript has 3 exons. Lineage: Eukaryota; Metazoa; Mollusca; Bivalvia; Ostreida; Ostreidae.